Molecule: long non-coding RNA, 3765 nt
Filed under: Marmota monax (woodchuck)
Lineage: Eukaryota; Metazoa; Chordata; Mammalia; Rodentia; Sciuridae
Source: RNAcentral
GUGCAAUGCUACAUUGUGUACAACCAGAGAAAUGACAAGUUGUACUACAAUUGUGUCCAAUGAAUCAAAAUUCUCCUGGCAUAUAUACCUAAGUAAAAUUAAUUAAUUAAUUAAUUAAUUAAUUAAUUUUUUAAAAGGAAGAAAGAAAGCAGAAUCUGUUCAGCGGACCCAAAAUUGGCCAUAAUGCUGUCCCCAACAGGGCAGCUGCAGGUGCAGACUACUGAUUUCCAGGUCACAGUCACCAGAUUUGGAUUUUUAUAUUAUUUCUAUUAUUUUAUUUUCUUCUUCUGUAGUCACCUUCCUUUUCUCAUUUUUCAGGUUUUCAAAUAUCUCUGUAACCAAUUUGCUUUCAAUUCACUCUGUUCAAAACUCUAUUUCUGGCUAGAUCUUUCUAAUAUAUGUGUGUUUUAAUUCAUGGGCAUAGAAGAGAAGGGGUAGUUGAAGCAGCUGAGAUGGAGUGAUAUACUCACCUGCCUCCAGAAGAAAGAGCUUUGCAGCUGAUAUAUAUCAUUUGCACUAAUUGCACUUAUGCAAGGUUACAUUUGAAGUGGAAAAGGAAGUGUUGACUUAGUGAUCCUGUUUACUACACUAUUGACCUUCUCUUGAUCUAUCAUCAGUAAAUAAUAUUAAUUUGACUUCUAUAACAGAAUGGACUUUUCCCCUGUAUCUUUGUAAAACAGUGUUUUCACUUGUAUCUUAUAAUGUGCUCAUUGACUUUAAUCUCUUUCUUCUUUUCCCUCAAAGCCUCACAGAUUAAUAGGCACUUUAUCUCUGAAGCCAUUUUUGACCCACCUUUUCUUGUCUCACUCUGCUUUCUGCCUGUGCCAGGAGCUUUACAGGUCAAUUUUGCUUUUUUUAUUUUUUUAGAACAUUCCUUAUUGCGGCUCAAUUUAAUCCCUUCUCAGGUAAAUUCCAUGAUGACAAGAAAACUCCUUCAGUUUCUUGAAAUCUUACUGUGAUAUGCACCAUUGCUUCUGUAGAAUAUGGCUCCUGUUAAGUUUCAGGAAUAAUUGCUGAUCUUCAGUAAUAGAGGAAACAAUAACCAUACAAGAUGGGUUUCUAAGUCUUAAGAAUUGACAACUGCUUGCAAGGACAUGGCAUAUAGAAAGGAAAUAACAUGAGGUGGGGAGCAUAUGCCUCCAAUCAUGGUCCUUCACUAGCCCCAGACACUUUCAUCAUGAGUAAUCCCUGCUGGUUUUCUCUUUCAGAGAGACACAUAGAAGUAAGAUGCCAGAUCUCAUGCAGAGGGACAUCUCUUCAGGGUUUUAUUUAUUCUUUUAAAUGCAUUGUGUUCCCAGGAAGAGCUUGUACAAAUGUGCCAGAAGCAUUGUGUCACCAUUGACAUUUGGAUGACAGUCUUCAAAGUGGUGAGCUUUACUUUCAUGUACAAAGGGAUAAUUACAAGUUUUUCUCCAGCAUUAUUUGUUUUCCAAAGUUCAUAUAUGCUGUCAAAAUAUCAUUUUGGUCUGACUAUUAUCUACAGAAUCUUAUAUUUAAAGAAGUAUUUGUAUGUAUAUAUAUAUAUAUAUAUAUAUAUAUAUAUAUAUAUAUAUAUUUUUUUUUUUUUUUAAAGAAGUGUGUGCAUUUAUACACAUACAUUUUUUAGGGGGUGAGAAGUACUGAGGAUUAAACUGAGAGGUACUGUACCAUUGUCCUAUAUCCCCAGUCCUAUCUCUCUAUCUAUCUAUCUAUCUAUCUAUCUAUCUAUUUUGAGACAGAGUCUCACUAAGUUCCUUAGAGCCUUACUGAGUUGCUAAGACUGGCCUUGAACUUGAGAUCCUCCUGCCUCGGCCACUAGUGUUGCUGGGAUUACAGGCAGGUGACGCGGUGCCCAGCUAAAGGAGCAUAUUUUUCCCCUAAAAUACAAAGCAAUGAUGGGGGAGCUUUCUAACCACAAAGCAGAGCUGUGCAGACUGUCUUUCUCUUACAAUCUUUACACCCAACAUUUGCCAGAAGUUGUUCUAAAAAGCCAAACUCCCACUAGAUGUAGUAAAAGUAUAAAUAUAGACUGAUUUUAUUUGGAAAUUGACUCAGGAUUUUUACAUAAUUGUAGCUAGAUGAAAUUGAAGCUUUUGAGAUUUGAAAUUCCAAUCAAACAAUCUGAUCUGAAAUAAACAUACAUCCUGCAAUGAGUGAAUAAAUUACACAUUUGCAAAAUAAUAAAUGGCAGUUAUUGAAUUCGGCUAAGCAAUAUCAACCAAUAAAUUUAGAACACUUUGGGAAGUAGGAAAAUUACACUUGAUUACCUAUCAGCAAAUCCCAGCAAAAAAAUUUUUAAAGGUUAUGGAAAUUGCAUGAAAUAUUAGGUUAUUGGCAGUGGCAGCGUAUUUCUUACUUGAGUACUUGGUUAUUCCAACUUCUUGUUCUUAGCAAACGAAAUUCCAGCUCCAAGUUGUAAUGAACUAAAUUCUACCUCCACAAAAAAUUCUAUCACAAAUUUGUUACUUUUAAUGUUGUCUUCUACAGAAAUGAGACUUUUUAGAAGGCUUUGACACAUGGUCUGUUAAAAAUUUACAUGACAUUUGGAUUUUUGCUGCAAUGGAUUAAAACAAAAGACAAUUUUUUUCCAAUUUUUCAUGCAGAAUUUUUACUGAAAUUGUGUUUCCUUUGACGUGAGAAAAAAAAUAGUGAUGUACUCUUUAAGUUAGAGAGUUCUUCCUUUAUGCAAAUUCUGCUCAAGGAUACAAUUGAUUUAUUUACAAUAUAUUUACUUUUCAUUCUCUUGGUCGAAGUCAUACUUCUAGAAUGUAUAGUUUUGAAGAAAACUAAUAGCAGUUGUAGCUCCGAUAGAACUAAAGUAAUGCAAAUGAUGAUGAUGCAAGGCAUAUGGUCACAAGUAUUCACUCAGUGUACUCAUUACAUGCAAAUCUCUAUUUCAGAUGUCAUUGAUACAGAGAUGAAUCAGAUUCAAUGCUUUUGAAAUUCACAGAGUAUUAAGAAAGUCAGAUGGGUAUGUAAAUAAUACUAAUACAGAAAGAACAUGAUAUCAUCACUGUACGUGCAAAAAGUUAAGACCAUGGAAAAUUCAGGUAAUAGAAAACUUCUGCCUGAGGAAUGAAGGAAACUGACUACAGCGGGUGAAUUCUGUUCCUGAAAAGAUGAAAUCUUAAACCCAGUAUCUGUGAAGUUGGCCUUAUUUGGAAAUAUUUUCUUUUUAAAUCAACUAAGUUAAGGACCUUGAGAUGAGAUCAUUUUGGAUUUAGGGAGGUUCCUAAUCCAAUGACUGCUAUAAUCAUAAUAGAGUUGAGACAUAGAACCAUGGGCCAGAGGCUAUAUCAGGACAGAUACAGAAACUGGAAUUAUGCUGCCCCAAGUCAAGGACCCUGGAGCCACCGAAAGCUACAAGAAGCAAGCAAACAUUCUUUUUUAGAGCCUUCAGAGAUAAUGUAUACCUUUCAACACCUUGAUUUCAAAGACUUCUGGCUUCCAAAAUGGUGACAGAAUAAAUUUCUGUUAUUUCAAACCACUAGGUCUGUGCUAAUGUUGUUCUUGCAGACCUAGGAAAUAAAGAUAAUCAUUACAGAAAUAACAUUUGGGUUGGAACAUGAAGGAUGGGCUGUGUUUGUACAUCCCAGGCCUAUUGUGUAGCAGGACAAUGAUAAAGACUCGGAGAAAGCUUUCAGGGAAGAGGAUGUAAGCGUUUCAGUAUCCUGGAAUGUUAAAUAAUGACAUGGGGAAGUAGAAGAGAAUAGAGCUUGGUGGAGGAGAGAGAGAGGAAGUUGUAAACAGGAAUAAAAAGGUUGAGAAGCCUCAGGGAAGCCAUUG